This 72-nucleotide microRNA precursor is filed under the name Dictyocaulus viviparus (bovine lungworm). RNAcentral's name for it is "mir-252 microRNA precursor family". It matches the Rfam family "mir-252 microRNA precursor family". The record is from Rfam by way of RNAcentral. Lineage: Eukaryota; Metazoa; Nematoda; Chromadorea; Rhabditida; Metastrongylidae.
UACAAAUGCUAAGUAGUUGUGCCGUAGGUAACUUAUAUGAGAUUACCUGCUGCCUACUGCUUAACACCUGUA